This 1483-nucleotide ribosomal RNA is filed under the name uncultured Bordetella sp. Its description in RNAcentral is "partial 16S-23S ribosomal RNA intergenic spacer". It matches the Rfam family "Bacterial small subunit ribosomal RNA". The record is from RNAcentral. Lineage: Bacteria; Pseudomonadati; Pseudomonadota; Betaproteobacteria; Burkholderiales; Alcaligenaceae.
CGAUCUUUAAGCUCGGAACUGAACGCUGGCGGGAUGCUUUACACAUGCAAGUCGAACGGCAGCACGGACUUCGGUCUGGUGGCGAGUGGCGAACGGGUAAAUGUAUAUCAGGAGACGUGCCUAAUGUAGCGGGGGAUAACUACGCAGAGGGAGAGAGAGGCGUAGCUAAUACCACAUACGCCCUUCAGGAAAGCAGAAGGACCUUUGAGGCCUCGCACUAUUGACGACGAUAUCAGUUAGCUAGUUGGUAGGGUAACGGCUCACCAAGGCGACGAUCCGUAGCUGGUUGAAGGACUGACCAGCCACACUGGGACUGAGACACGCGGCCCAGACUCCUACAAAGGGAGGGCAGCAGUGGGGGUACGGACAAUGGGGAAACCCUGAUCCAGCCAUCCCGCGUGUGCGAUGAAGGCCUUCGGGUUGUAAGCGCACAGCGGAAAGAAACGGCACGGGAUAAUACCCCGUGCAACUGACGGUACCUGCAGAAUAAACACCGGCCUUCGUGCCAGCAGCCGCGGUAAUGGCGAGGUGCAAGCGUUAAUCAGAUUACUGGGCGUAAAGCGUGCGCAGGCGGUUCGGAAAGAAAGAUGUGAAAUCCGAGCAACUUUGGAACUGCACAUUUUUAACACCGAGCUAGAGUGUGUCGGGAGGUGGAAUUCCGCGUGUAGCAGUGAAAUGCGUAGACAUACGCGGAGGAACACCGAUGGCGAAGGCAGCCUCCUGGGAUAACACUGACGCUCAUGCACACACGAAAAACGAUGGGAACAAACAGGAUUAGAUACCCUGGUGGUCGCCUAAACGAUGUCAACUAGCUGUUUGGGCCAGCGGGCCUUGGUAGCGCAGCUAACGCCGAAGUUGACCGCCUGGGGAGAAUGGGGUCGCAAGAUUAAAACUCCAAAGGAAUUGACGGGGACCCGCACGGCGGUGGAUGAUGUGGAUUAAUUCGGUACCGCGCGAAAACCUUACCUACCCUUGACAUGUCUGGAAUCCCGAAGAGAUUUGGGUGCUCGCAAGAGAACCGGAACACCGGACUUAACGCAUGGCUGUCGUGGCUCGUGUCGUGAGAUGUUGGGUUAAGUCCCGCAACGAGCGCAACCCUUGUCGUGGUUGCUACGAAGAGCACUCUAUUGAGACUGCCGGUGACAAACCGGAGGAAGGUGGGGAUGACGUCAAGUCCUCAUGGCCCUUAUGGGUAGGGCUUACACGUCAUCACAACAGGUCAGGACAGAGGUCGCCAACCCGCGAGAAGACUAAUCGAGAAACCUGAUCGUAGUCGGAUCGCAGUCUGCAACUCAUUGCGUGAAGUCGGAAUCGCUAGUAAUCAUAGAUCGGCAUGUCGCCAGAUGAAUGCGUUCCCGGGUCUUAGCACACCGCCCGUCACACCAUGGGGAUGGAGUUUCCAGAAAGGAAAUGAUUAGCCUAACCGUAAGGAGGGCGUGCCACGGUAAGUUCGCGAGCUGGGGGUGAAGUCAUAACAAGGUAA